This 353-nucleotide ribosomal RNA is filed under the name uncultured bacterium. Its description in RNAcentral is "bacterial SSU rRNA". It matches the Rfam family "Bacterial small subunit ribosomal RNA", at positions 8 to 350 of the family's 1533-position model. The record is from RNAcentral.
AGAGUUUGAUCAUGGCUCAGGAUGAACGCUAGCUACAGGCUUAACACAUGCAAGUCGAGGGGAAACGACAUCGAAAGCUUGCUUUUGAUGGGCGUCGACCGGCGCACGGGUGAGUAACGCGUAUCCAACCUGCCCACCACUUGGGGAUAACCUUGCGAAAGUAAGACUAAUACCCAAUGAUAUCUCUAGAAGACAUCUGAAAGAGAUUAAAAGAUUUAUCGGUGAUGGAUGGGGAUGCGUCUGAUUAGCUUGUUGGCGGGGUAACGGCCACCAAGGCGACGAUCAGUAGGGGUUCUGAGAGGAAGGUCCCCCACAUUGGACUGAGACACGGUCCAAACUCCUACGGGAGGACA